AACGCUGGCGGCGUGCCUAAUACAUGCAAGUCGAACGGUCUUUCUAUGGAAGCUUGCUUCCACUGAGAAGAUAGUGGCGAACGGGUGAGUAACACGUGGGUAACCUGCCCAUAAGAGGGGGAUAACAUCCGGAAACGGGUGCUAAUACCGCAUAGUUUUCUUGAUCCGCAUGAUCGGGAAAGGAAAGACGGCCUUUGUGCUGUCGCUUAUGGAUGGACCCGCGGCGUAUUAGUUAGUUGGUGAGGUAACGGCUCACCAAGACGAUGAUACGUAGCCGACCUGAGAGGGUGAUCGGCCACAUUGGGACUGAGACACGGCCCAAACUCCUGCGGGAGGCAGCAGUAGGGAAUCUUCCGCAAUGGACGAAAGUCUGACGGAGCAACGCCGCGUGAGUGAAAGAAGGUUUUCGGAUCGUAAAACUCUGUUGUCAGAGAAGAACAAGUUGGAGAGUAACUGCUCCAGCCUUGACGGUAUCUGACCAGAAAGCCACGGCUAACUACGUGCCAGCCGCGGC
Molecule: ribosomal RNA, 514 nt
Filed under: uncultured bacterium
Lineage: Bacteria
Description: bacterial SSU rRNA
Rfam family: Bacterial small subunit ribosomal RNA
Source: RNAcentral